RNAcentral lists this unclassified non-coding RNA (285 nucleotides) under uncultured Auriculariales. RNAcentral describes it as "sequence contains 5.8S rRNA gene, ITS2, 28S rRNA gene". The stretch from base 1 to 52 matches the Rfam family "5.8S ribosomal RNA", at positions 103 to 154 of the family's 154-position model. Lineage: Eukaryota; Fungi; Basidiomycota; Agaricomycetes; Auriculariales. The record is from RNAcentral.
AACGCAUCUUGCGCUCCUUGGUAUUCCAUGGAGCAUGCCUGUUUGAGUGUCACGUAAACCCUCACCCUUGCGAUGUCAAAGUCGCUCGUGGUGGAUUUGGACUGUGCCGUCAUUGGCUCGUCCUGAAAUGCAUUAGCUUGUGCUCGUUAGAGUGCUCGGCAUGGUGUGAUAAUUAUCUGCGCCGUCGCCUUAGGCCUCUUCUGUGUGCGCUGCUUCCAAUCGUCCCCAGCGGACAACUCAUUAAGCUUUGGCCUCAAAUCAGGUAGGACUACCCGCUGAACUUAA